AAAAAGCCUCAAAUUUUCCUCCCCGGCCGCGAUUGCCCUGAAGAAAUCCCUUUCGAUCUCUAUUGAGUCGGUUGAUCGGUGGCCGGAUAUCCAUGAAGCUAAUAGCAGGUGGCUCGGUGCCGUUCCGUCCACAAUAGUCACAGAAAGGUCGACCCCGAGCCUUGAAAUCUCCUUUGUUCGAACCAUCAAAAUUAUGGUUACUGCCCCCAUAGUCAUUUGCAAUUUUGGUCGCGAAUCCCAUCGCUUUUGAGCUAGAAUCCCUGCCUUGAUUGAUUAAUCGUUGAGCUUCAUCGUGUGCGGCCAUGGAGUGGGCUCGAUUGACAUUCGAAAGAGGGUCCAUGCUCAAGAUUUGGGACCAAAUUGUGGAGAACUCGGGAUUAAGCCCGAUGAGGAACUGGUAAACCUUCUCUUUUUCCUUUUGGGUGGCAAGCUGAGCUCUACCGUCACAGGUGCACAUGUUGAGAUACAAUUCCAAUUCAUCCUAAAAACUCUUUAAUUUCGAGUAAUACUCAGAAAUAGAUUUCCUCUCCCGUCUAAGUAAGCAUAUAUCGGUCUUGAGUUGAUGGAUUCUUGUUUCAUUUGCUUGCGAGAAACGCUUCUUAAGAUCAUCCCAGAGUACCUUGGCGUUCUUUGCCCCGGCUACAUAAUUCUGCAAUUCUUCAUCUAAAUGAUUAAAAAUCCAGGAAACAAGCAUCGAAUUACACGUUACCCAUUGCUCAGGGAAAUUAGUUGAGUCCUUAGUCCAUCCGAGGAAGAGAGGAGAUACGCUAGAGAAUGAGGGGAUGAGGAACGCUCAGUCCAGAAACUGGUAGGACAGAAGCUCGACCUAAAAUUGGCCAGCAAAUUGGAGCUUGACGAUUGCCCUCACGAUCGAUACUCUGAUACCAUGUAAAGAAAUGAGAUUGGGCUGAAAAGCUUGCAUUUGUCAUUCAUUCCAUUGGUAUGUAUACAACUCAGUCUUGAUCAAUAAAAGGAAAGUAAUGUCUAUGCCUAAAAUAGGCUAACCUAA
This is a non-coding RNA of Punica granatum (pomegranate), 1009 nucleotides long. The record is from RefSeq and is a predicted model, not a curated record. NCBI's taxonomy places the organism in Eukaryota, Viridiplantae, Streptophyta, Magnoliopsida, Myrtales, Lythraceae.